RNAcentral lists this long non-coding RNA (201 nucleotides) under Daucus carota (carrot). RNAcentral's name for it is "long non-coding RNA (DCAR_LNC005036)". The record is from RNAcentral. Lineage: Eukaryota; Viridiplantae; Streptophyta; Magnoliopsida; Apiales; Apiaceae.
UUAGUAUUUUGUAAAUAAUCGGGAUGUUACUAAUUGAUUUUAAGUGUUUAAUUUCAGGAAAAUAAAUAUUCCUAAAGUUGGAUUAAAUCAAGCUUAUUUGGGCUUAAUCAGAUAGAAAUUCGGAUUUUAUGGAUAGACUGCAAAGCAAAUCUUGUUUGGGCCAUAACUUGAGUUCUGGACAUCAGAAUUGGGCGAUUCAAC